This 207-nucleotide ribosomal RNA is filed under the name uncultured bacterium. RNAcentral describes it as "partial 16S ribosomal RNA". It matches the Rfam family "Bacterial small subunit ribosomal RNA", at positions 568 to 774 of the family's 1533-position model. The record is from RNAcentral.
CGUGUAGGCGGCGAGGUAUGUCUGAUGUGAAAGCCCUCGGCUUAACCGGGGAACUGCACCAGAAACUACCUUGCUUGAGUGCGAGAGAGGAUGGCGGAAUUCCUAGUGUAGAGGUGAAAUUCGUAGAUACUAGGAGGAACACCGGAGGCGAAGGCGGCCAUCUGGCUCGCAACUGACGCUGAGACGCGAAAGCGUGGGGAGCAAACA